Molecule: long non-coding RNA, 281 nt
Filed under: Lathyrus oleraceus (garden pea)
Lineage: Eukaryota; Viridiplantae; Streptophyta; Magnoliopsida; Fabales; Fabaceae
Description: Pisum sativum (pea) long non-coding RNA (PSAT_LNC021671)
Source: RNAcentral
AAAAAGAAAGAAAGAGGAGGGUGCAAAAUCAAAAGAAAUCAAAAGAAAGAAAAAGAAAGAAAGAAAUAAAAGAAAAUAGCACCCUCGAAGUCCCAAGUUGACUGAUGCUGAAUUCGAUCGAAAAGAAGAGAUCAGCUGCCAUGUGUCAUGGUCAGUCAUAUUAGCAGAGAGUGAAAAAGCAGGUCAAGCCUCGUGUGUUCCGAGAAGGUGACCUUGUGCUCAAAGAAGUCUUGUCUUUCGCGCCCGAUUCCAGGGGCAAGUGAACCCCAAGCUGAAUGUCC